This 496-nucleotide long non-coding RNA is filed under the name Olea europaea subsp. europaea. The record is from RNAcentral. Lineage: Eukaryota; Viridiplantae; Streptophyta; Magnoliopsida; Lamiales; Oleaceae.
AUAAAACAUAAACUCUUAUUGCAAUAAAUCAAAACAUUAUAAGAGAUAAUUUCUUAAAAAGGGAAACAGAGAAAAAUAAUUCUUUUUUUUUGAAAAAUAGCCGAGCUGUUCCCUAUAAUGAAUUAUCCUAAAAGACCUUUUAAGUCUGAAUACGUCACCACAUCGACUAACUUCUGCUGCCAAAUCCAAGUCUGGUUGGAAAGAUGUUCAAUUUGAGGACAAUGGCCACCAGAUGACAGUGCCAGAAAUGAAAGAAUACUACACGUUAUGUAACUUUCUUCGAGUAAUGUAUCUUCGUCGUUAAACUUAGUUACUCGACAAAAUAUUCAAAUAGUUAGCUGAACCAACUCAACAAAUGGUCUAGUUGAUUGAGCUGAAUUCGUCUUUACAAGGUAAUAACAGCGGAAAGAGAUGGUCUUUUUACCAUAGAUAUGUAGCAGUCCAUUAUAUAAUUUUUCUUGUUAAAAAUAAUCCCAUGAAGAGAAGGAUUAUACAG